This 242-nucleotide ribosomal RNA is filed under the name uncultured Actinomycetales bacterium. RNAcentral describes it as "partial 16S ribosomal RNA". It matches the Rfam family "Bacterial small subunit ribosomal RNA", at positions 88 to 334 of the family's 1533-position model. Lineage: Bacteria; Bacillati; Actinomycetota; Actinomycetes; Actinomycetales. The record is from RNAcentral.
UACUCGAGUGGCGAACGGGUGAGUAACACGUGGGUGAUCUGCCCUGCACUUCGGGAUAAGCCUGGGAAACUGGGUCUAAUACCGGAUAGGACGAUGGUUUGGAUGCCAUUGUUGAAAGUUUUUCGGUGUGGGAUGAGCUCGCGGCCUAUCAGCUUGUUGGUGGGGUAAUGGCCUACCAAGGCGUCGACGGGUAGCCGGCCUGAGAGGGUGUACGGCCACAUUGGGACUGAUAUACGGCCCAG